GUGGAUUAGAUACCCUGGUAGUCCACGCCGUAAACGAUGUCGAUUUGGAGGCUGUGUCCUUGAGACGUGGCUUCCGGAGCUAACGCGUUAAAUCGACCGCCUGGGGAGUACGGCCGCAAGGUUAAAACUCAAAUGAAUUGACGGGGGCCCGCACAAGCGGUGGAGCAUGUGGUUUAAUUCGAUGCAACGCGAAGAACCUUACCUGGCCUUGACAUGUCUGGAAUCCUGUAGAGAUACGGGAGUGCC
This 246-nucleotide ribosomal RNA is filed under the name uncultured bacterium. RNAcentral describes it as "partial 16S ribosomal RNA". It matches the Rfam family "Bacterial small subunit ribosomal RNA", at positions 773 to 1018 of the family's 1533-position model. The record is from RNAcentral.